UAAAUGACUGGGAAUUAAAUGAUUGCCUUCCUUUGGUGCCUUAACAACGUCUGGAGUUCUGCAUUAUUCUGAAGACAUGUUGAAUUGACAAUUGAGUAAAAGGGAGAUUAUUUUUAAGUCCUACCACAGCCAUCUAUUGGCUAGGACUUCCACCUUUAAGUGUUUUCCGUGGAAUCAAAAAUGGAAAAGGAAUCUUAACUCCACAUC
Molecule: long non-coding RNA, 207 nt
Filed under: Carica papaya (papaya)
Lineage: Eukaryota; Viridiplantae; Streptophyta; Magnoliopsida; Brassicales; Caricaceae
Description: long non-coding RNA (CPAP_LNC004386)
Source: RNAcentral